This is a long non-coding RNA of Aethalodelphis obliquidens (Pacific white-sided dolphin), 389 nucleotides long. RefSeq lists it as uncharacterized. The record is from RefSeq and is a predicted model, not a curated record. Lineage: Eukaryota; Metazoa; Chordata; Mammalia; Artiodactyla; Delphinidae. The transcript has 2 exons.
CUCCGCGAAGCGCCUCCGCCGCGCACCUGGGCCGAGGCCCCGCCCUGGGAGCUGGGCGGGCACUGCGGCCGGCCUCCGGCCCUCCGUCCGCAGACUGCGAGAGCAGCACUCGGCCUAGUCCGGGAAGUCUGCAGAGGAAGACAGAGGCCUCUGCUCUGGGGCGGGUGGAAGAGGAGACUGGGCUGUGCAGUCCUGAAACAUCCCAGAUCAGCAGAGUUGGCCACAAUGGGCCAUGAUCACCGCAUCCCAUGGGGUUUCUGCAAGAGGCAACAUCAUUGGGUGGCAAGAGUCAGAGGUUGGAUUAUUCUGGGUUCCUGCUCCCCUUAAUACCAACUUAAUAACAACAAUAGCACCAAUAAACAAGUGACUUUUAGGGAACAUCUCCACGA